GAUUAACGCUGGCGGCGUGCAUAACACAUGCAAGUCGAACGAUGAAACUUAACUGAUUUCUUCGGAAUGAUUUUAAGUGGAUUAGUGGCGGACGGGUGAUUAACGCGUGAGUAACCUGCCUUGGAGAAGGGGAUAGCCUUUGGAAACGAAGAAUAAUACCCUAUGAUAUGAUAAUAUCUCAUGAUAUUAUCAUCAAAGAUUUAUCGCUCUAAGAUGGACUUGCGUCUGAUUAGUUAGUUGGUGAGGUAACAGCUCACCAAGGCAGCGAUCAGUAGCCGGCUUGAGAGAAUGGACGGGCACAUUGGGACUGAGACAAGGCCCAGACUCCUACGGGAGGGCGCAGUGGGGAAUUUUGCACAAUGGGGGAAACCCUGAUGCAGCGACGCCGCGUGAUUUAGAAGGCCUUCAGGUUGUAAAAAUCUUUUGUAUGGGAAGAAAAUGACAGUACCAUACGAAUAAGGACCGGCUAAUUACGUG
RNAcentral lists this ribosomal RNA (477 nucleotides) under uncultured bacterium. Its description in RNAcentral is "partial 16S ribosomal RNA". It matches the Rfam family "Bacterial small subunit ribosomal RNA", at positions 28 to 507 of the family's 1533-position model. The record is from RNAcentral.